AACAACAACAACAACAACAACUCACUAUAGCUACAUGAAUGUGUGGUGCUAUGUUACCGGGCGGACAACACAUUUUAAAGUGCACUGGAAUCGACAACAAUCCAUAUGAUAACCAGUCAGUCAGUGACCAUCGCUACUUGCCCAUACCUCUGGCAUUUGUAACACCGAAGCGGAAGAGGAACAUGAGCCCUGACUGGGAAGGUCAUCCAGCCUAUCUUUAUUUCACCCGGAGCAACUUGGGGUUCAGCACCUUGCUCAAGGGCACUUUGACAUCUGGACAGGAGGAGGCGGAGAUUGAAACACAAACUCUGCAAUUAAUGGAACCUGUUCUUCCUUCUGAACCACAGCCGCUACCCAUAAAUUAUUCUAGAAUUGUUUUUCUUUUGGAGUAUUUGUAUUGUUGAAUGAUCUGUGUUGGAUGGACUUGUGCAGUAAAAAUUAAAAAUGAUAUGGCUUUAACAUUUGCAUCUAAUAUUAAAAAUCAUUGAAGAAUGUGUGCUUCUUUCUUACAUUGGCACCACCAUGGAGUACUUGAAUGUACUGGGAUUUCUGUGCAUUGUGCUAUUAAAAUGUGCAAGAUGAAAUGUACAUAUCUAUCUAGCUGCUUUCAGAUGGCUGUAGGGAAACUAAACCGUCAAACAUCCAACAAUCAGCUGAGUCACAGACAUUUGAGAAUCAGCUCUUAUUGUAGCAUUGACACUUCUCUUCUACAUCCAACACAGUGACCUGG
Molecule: long non-coding RNA, 730 nt
Organism: Siniperca chuatsi (mandarin fish)
Lineage: Eukaryota; Metazoa; Chordata; Actinopteri; Centrarchiformes; Sinipercidae
Exons: 3
Source: RefSeq, a predicted model, not a curated record